UGGGGAAUAUUGGACAAUGGGCGCAAGCCUGAUCCAGCCAUGCCGCGUGAGUGAUGAAGGCCUUAGGGUUGUAAAGCUCUUUUGUCCGGGAAGAUAAUGACUGUACCGGAAGAAUAAGCCCCGGCUAACUUCGUGCCAGCAGCCGCGGUAAUACGAAGGGGGCUAGCGUUGCUCGGAAUCACUGGGCGUAAAGGGCGCGUAGGCGGACUCUUAAGUCGGGGGUGAAAGCCCAGGGCUCAACCCUGGAAUUGCCUUCGAUACUGGGAGUCUUGAGUUCGGAAGAGGUUGGUGGAACUGCGAGUGUAGAGGUGAAAUUCGUAGAUAUUCGCAAGAACACCGGUGGCGAAGGCGGCCAACUGGUCCGAUACUGACGCUGAGGCGCGAAAGCGUGGGGAGCAAACAGGAUUAGAUACCCUGGUA
This 420-nucleotide ribosomal RNA is filed under the name uncultured bacterium. Its description in RNAcentral is "bacterial SSU rRNA". It matches the Rfam family "Bacterial small subunit ribosomal RNA", at positions 355 to 792 of the family's 1533-position model. The record is from RNAcentral.